This 497-nucleotide ribosomal RNA is filed under the name uncultured bacterium. Its description in RNAcentral is "partial 16S ribosomal RNA". It matches the Rfam family "Bacterial small subunit ribosomal RNA", at positions 28 to 507 of the family's 1533-position model. The record is from RNAcentral.
GAUGAACGCUGGCGGCGUGCCUAAUACAUGCAAGUCGAGCGAACGGACGAGAAGCUUGCUUCUCUGAUGUUAGCGGCGGACGGGUGAGUAACACGUGGAUCACCUACCUAUAAGACUGGGAUAAUUUCGGGAAACCGGAGCUAAUACCGGAUGAUAUCUUGAACCGCAUGGUUCAAAAGUGAAAGACGGUCUUGCUGUCACUUAUAGAUGGAUCCGCGCUGCAUUAGCUAGUUGGUAAGGUAACGGCUUACCAAGGCAACGAUGCAUAGCCGACCUGAGAGGGUGAUCGGCCACACUGGAACUGAGACGCGGUCCAGGCUACUACGGGAGGCAGCAGUAGGGAAUCUUCCGCAAUGGGCGAGAGCCUGACGGAGCAACGGCGAGUGAGUGAUGAAGGUCUUCGGAUCGUAAAACUCUGUUAUUAGGGAAGAACAUAUGUGUAAGUAACUGUGCACAGCUUGACGGUACCUAAUCAGAAAGCCACGGCUAACUACGUG